This 426-nucleotide ribosomal RNA is filed under the name uncultured bacterium. Its description in RNAcentral is "partial 16S ribosomal RNA". It matches the Rfam family "Bacterial small subunit ribosomal RNA", at positions 354 to 796 of the family's 1533-position model. The record is from RNAcentral.
GUGAGGAAUUUUCCGCAAUGGGCGAAAGCCUGACGGAGCAAUGCCGCGUGAAGGAUGAAGGCCUAUGGGUUGUAAACUUCUUUUCUCAGAAAAGAAUUAUGACGGUAUCUGAGGAAUAAGCAUCGGCUAACUCUGUGCCAGCAGCCGCGGUAAGACAGAGGAUGCAAGCGUUGUCCGGAAUGAUUGGGCGUAAAGCGUCUGUAGGUUGUUUAAAAAGUAUUCUGUCAAAGAUUAGGGCUUAACUCUAGAUAGGCAGAAUAAACUUUUAAGCUAGAGUUUGGUAGAGGCAGAGGGAAUUCCCGGUGGAGCGGUGAAAUGCGUAGAUAUCGGGAGGAACACCAAAGGCGAAGGCACUCUGCUGGGCCAAUACUAACACUGAGAGACGAAAGCGAGGGGAGCAAAUGGGAUUAGAAACCCCGGUAGUCC